This 73-nucleotide transfer RNA is filed under the name Bacillus safensis. RNAcentral's name for it is "tRNA-Glu". It matches the Rfam family "tRNA". From Rfam's summary of the family: Transfer RNA (tRNA) molecules are approximately 80 nucleotides in length. Their secondary structure includes four short double-helical elements and three loops (D, anti-codon, and T loops). Lineage: Bacteria; Bacillati; Bacillota; Bacilli; Caryophanales; Bacillaceae. The record is from RNAcentral.
GGCCCGUUGGUCAAGCGGUUAAGACACCGCCCUUUCACGGGCGGUAACACGGGUUCGAAUCCCGUACGGGUCA